AAAACAUUUCCCGUCUCCUUCGCUGGCUGCUAUCUAAUGUCGGCGACUUGUAUAAAGCUCAGCUCAGUCCCGCUUCCUUCCCUGUUCCAUCCGCCCUUUUCUCUCUAAAAGCUCCACCCUUUUAUCUAUAUGCUUCACAAUCACAUUUCAACUCCCCAAACUCUGCCUUCAUCCUUCUUUCCUUAUCCAUCUAACAGAGACGUAGCCACCGGUCCUUGCAUUUCCCGGUGACCAUGUCACAGUCACUUCAUUUCUUCACUCCAACAACUUGCUCCCCAAACUUUACUUUCCCUAAACCCUCUCUCCCAGCCUCCAAUUGCCUGUUCUCGAUCACUUUCUGGCCCAAAUCUAUCUCCGUCAAGGCAUCAGCUUCAUCAGACUCUAACUCUGCCCCAUCAUCUCAAGUCUUCGUUUCCAAUAAUGGCACAGGAGGAGGCGUGUUGGUGCCGGAGUAUAGUUCCUUGGCAGUGGCUGAUGUGAGUUCGAUCGAAGUGGAUGCGGUGACGGAGGCGGAAUUGAAGGAGAACGGAUUUAGGAGCACGAGGAGGACCAAGCUCGUUUGCACGAUAGGUCCGGCCACAUGCGGCUUCGAGCAGCUGGAGGCGCUAGCGGUUGGAGGCAUGAACGUGGCGAGGAUUAAUAUGUGUCACG
Molecule: unclassified non-coding RNA, 651 nt
Filed under: Hevea brasiliensis (rubber tree)
Lineage: Eukaryota; Viridiplantae; Streptophyta; Magnoliopsida; Malpighiales; Euphorbiaceae
Source: RNAcentral